Molecule: ribosomal RNA, 478 nt
Filed under: uncultured bacterium
Lineage: Bacteria
Description: partial 16S ribosomal RNA
Rfam family: Bacterial small subunit ribosomal RNA
Source: RNAcentral
GACGAACGCUGGCGGCGUGCUUAACACAUGCAAGUCGAGCGGUAAGGCCCUUCGGGGUACACGAGCGGCGAACGGGUGAGUAACACGUGAGCAAUCUGCCCUUCACUCUGGGAUAGCCACCGGAAACGGUGAUUAAUACCGGAUAUGACCAGCCCUGGCAUCUGGGUUGGUGGAAAGUUCAGGCGGUGAAGGAUGGGCUCGCGGCCUAUCAGCUUGUUGGUGAGGUAAUGGCUCACCAAGGCUUCGACGGGUAGCCGGCCUGAGAGGGUGACCGGCCACACUGGGACUGAGACACGGCCCAGACUCCUACGGGAGGCAGCAGUGGGGAAUAUUGGACAAUGGGCGAAAGCCUGAUCCAGCAACGCCGCGUGAGGGAUGACGGCCUUCGGGUUGUAAACCUCUUUCAGCAGGGACGAAGCGCAAGUGACGGUACCUGCAGAAGAAGCACCGGCCAACUACGUGCCAGCAGCCGCCGUAA